UAGGGAAUUUUCGUCAAUGGGGGCAACCCUGAACGAGCAAUGCCGCGUGAGCGAAGAAGGUCUUCGGAUUGUAAAGCUCUGUUGCCGGGGAAAAAGGAAGGAAAGAGGAAAUGCUUUUCUUUGGAUGGUACCCGGCCAGAAAGUCACGGCUAACUACGUGCCAGCAGCCGCGGUAAUACGUAGGUGGCAAGCGUUAUCCGGAAUGAUUGGGCGUAAAGGGUGAGCAGGCGGUUCUUCAAGUCAUGAGUGAAAGGCAGAAGCUUAACUUCUGUUGGCUGAUGAGACUGGAGAACUUGAGUACAGGAGAGGGCGGCGGAACUCCAUGUGUAGCGGUAAAAUGCGUAGAUAUAUGGAAGAACACCAGUGGCGAAGGCGGCCGCCUGGCCUGUUACUGACGCUGAGGCACGAAAGCGUGGGGAGCAAAUA
This 426-nucleotide ribosomal RNA is filed under the name uncultured Allobaculum sp. RNAcentral describes it as "bacterial SSU rRNA". It matches the Rfam family "Bacterial small subunit ribosomal RNA", at positions 355 to 774 of the family's 1533-position model. Lineage: Bacteria; Bacillati; Bacillota; Erysipelotrichia; Erysipelotrichales; Erysipelotrichaceae. The record is from RNAcentral.